ACUCAAAGGAAUAGACGGGGACCCGCACAAGCAGCGGAGCGUGUGGUUUAAUUCGAUGCGACGCGAAGAACCUUACCUGGGUUCAAUGCCAGUUGCACCACCCGUAAUGGGGUGUCCCCGCAAGGGGCGGCUGGCACGGUGCUGCAUGGCUGUCGUCAGUUCGUGCCGUGAGGUGUUGGGUUAAGUCCCCUAACGAACGCAACCCCCGGUGCCGGUUAUCCAUCCGGCGCAACUGCCGCGCAGAACGCGGAGGAAGGUGGGGAUGAUGUCAAGUCAGCACGGCCCUUACGCCCAGGGCUACACACACGCUACAAUGGCCGGGACAAUGAGUUGCCACCUCGCGAGGGGGAGCUAAUCUCUUAAACCCGGUCUCAGUUCGGAUAGCAGGCUGCAACCCGCCUGCUUGAAGUCGGAGUUGCUAGUAACCGCUGGUCAGCACACAGCGGUGAAUACGUUCCCGGGUCUUGCACACACCGCCCGU
Molecule: ribosomal RNA, 481 nt
Filed under: uncultured bacterium
Lineage: Bacteria
Description: partial 16S ribosomal RNA
Rfam family: Bacterial small subunit ribosomal RNA
Source: RNAcentral